AUGUGGCUUUUAAGUUCUGAAACUACACGUGCCAGAAAACUGGGAACAAAGUGACCUGGAGGUCCUGCCAGGGGUGAAAAAUCAGGCAACAGACUCUUCUAAAUAAUUAUAUAUUUAUUUAGCACUUCAUAAACACUUAUAUAUAAAAAUAGUCAACAGUCUCCCAAGAAAGAUCAAAAUAUGUGGGCAGAGACAGCUGUGCAUUUGAAGCUGAGGUUGUGUUUUUCUUGUUUAUAUUUGAAGACACCAGGCAAGUUAAUUUUAUAUCAUUGUAAGGACUUUCAGUCCGAGGUAAACUUACAGAUAUAUAAAUUCCUAUCCCACAAGGACAAUUCCAGUGGGUAUCGAAACUAUUCUUACAGAGAGGACAGUGACCUCUCAAGUUGAGUCUUCUAGUGACCCGCCCCCCCUCCAACGUCUUCCUGAGAUGACCAGUUUGCCUAAGUUUCUGCGGAGCAGACAGGAAGUCCUAUCUUGUCUCGUCUCCUAUACGGUAGCUGAUGGUCCAGAUGCACCUCACACGAUUCUGGACUGGAAAAGUCUUUUAGUUUCCAAGGUGAGCUUAUUCACGAGGCUUUUGCCAAUGCUCAUGAGUUCUCAAUGCAGUUCUGAUCAGCACUGUCACCACGUGGAAGUGUCUGAUUCAACCACAGCCUUUAUGAUCAAGCAAACAUCUAACAGAACCCCAAAGAGAUUUUGGAAGUCAGCCCAACACGUGGCAGUGGCUUGUUCUGGACUAGGUGAGGAAGUCAGACCUCAGCUUGAAGAGGCGAAAUCAAGGCUUGACAUGGGGGAAGUAGGGCUUUCUAACUUCUUCAGAGACGUCACGUGGACAGCUUCCUAUUUCACCUAAACUAGUGUUAAUUUCAAGCUUAUCGGAUACCAUAUUCAAAAGGAAGCAUAAAAAUAAACUCCAAAAGGUAGAGUGUGGCCUGGUUUGUGUUCUCUCUGCACAUGCAAAGCCACAGACUUCACUCAGCACUCUGCUGCUGCUAAGUCGCUUCAGUCGUGUCCGACUCUGUGCGACCCC
Molecule: long non-coding RNA, 1030 nt
Filed under: Capra hircus (goat)
Lineage: Eukaryota; Metazoa; Chordata; Mammalia; Artiodactyla; Bovidae
Description: lncRNA (ENSCHIG00010014326.1)
Source: RNAcentral